GUGCCAGCAGCCGCGGUAAUACAGAGGUGGCAAGCGUUGUUCGGAAUUACUGGGCGUAAAGGGCGCGUAGGCGGUCGAUUAAGUCCCGUGUGAAAUCCCUCGGCUCAACUGAGGAACUGCACGGGAAACUGGCUGACUUGAGUUCGGGAGAGGGAAGCGGAAUUCCGGGUGUAGCGGUGAAAUGCGUAGAUAUCCGGAGGAACACCGGUGGCGAAGGCGGCUUCCUGGACCGAUACUGACGCUGAGGCGCGAAAGCUAGGGGAGCAAACGGGAUUAGAUACCCGCGUAGUCC
This 292-nucleotide ribosomal RNA is filed under the name uncultured bacterium. Its description in RNAcentral is "partial 16S ribosomal RNA". It matches the Rfam family "Bacterial small subunit ribosomal RNA", at positions 505 to 796 of the family's 1533-position model. The record is from RNAcentral.